GUGGGGAAUCUUGCGCAAUGGGCGAAAGCCUGACGCAGCGACGCCGCGUGGGGGAUGACGGCCUUCGGGUUGUAAACCUCUUUUACCACUCACGCAGGCCCCGGGUUCUCCCGGGGUUGACGGUAGGUGGGGAAUAAGGACCGGCUAACUACGUGCCAGCAGCCGCGGUAAUACGUAGGGUCCGAGCGUUGUCCGGAAUUAUUGGGCGUAAAGAGCUCGUAGGCGGUGUGUCGCGUCUGCUGUGAAAGACCGGGGCUUAACCCCGGUUUUGCAGUGGAUACGGGCAUGCUAGAGGUAGGUAGGGGAGACUGGAAUUCCUGGUGUAGCGGUGAAAUGCGCAGAUAUCAGGAGGAACACCGGUGGCGAAGGCGGGUCUCUGGGCCUUACCUGACGCUGAGGAGCGAAAGCGUGGGGAGCGAACAGGAUUAGAAACCCUUGUAGUCC
RNAcentral lists this ribosomal RNA (444 nucleotides) under uncultured bacterium. RNAcentral's name for it is "bacterial SSU rRNA". It matches the Rfam family "Bacterial small subunit ribosomal RNA", at positions 354 to 796 of the family's 1533-position model. The record is from RNAcentral.